This 524-nucleotide ribosomal RNA is filed under the name uncultured bacterium. Its description in RNAcentral is "bacterial SSU rRNA". It matches the Rfam family "Bacterial small subunit ribosomal RNA", at positions 243 to 784 of the family's 1533-position model. The record is from RNAcentral.
AGCUAGUUGGUGAGGUAAAGGCUCACCAAGGCGACGAUCCUUAGCUGGUCUGAGAGGAUGAUCAGCCACACUGGGACUGAGACACGGCCCAGACUCCUACGGGAGGCAGCAGUAGGGAAUCUUGCGCAAUGGGCGAAAGCCUGACGCAGCAACGCCGCGUGCGGGAAGAAGGCUUUCGGGCUGUAAACCGCUUUCAGUAGGAACGAAACUGACGGUACCUACAGAAGAAGGAGCGGCCAACUAUGUGCCAGCAGCCGCGGUGAUACAUAGGCUCCAAGCGUUGUCCGGAUUUAUUGGGCGUAAAGAGCUCGUAGGCGGUUGAGUAAGUCGGGUGUGAAAACUUUGGGCUUAACCCAAAGAUGCCACUCGAUACUGUUCAACUUGAGUUUGGUAGGGGAGUGGGGAAUUCCUUGUGUAGCGGUGAAAUGCGCAGAUAUAAGGGGGAACACCGGUGGCGAAGGCGCCACUCUGGGCCAAUACUGACGCUGAGGAGCGAAAGCGUGGGGAGCAAACAGGAUUAGAUA